This 301-nucleotide ribosomal RNA is filed under the name uncultured bacterium. RNAcentral describes it as "partial 16S ribosomal RNA". It matches the Rfam family "Bacterial small subunit ribosomal RNA", at positions 509 to 807 of the family's 1533-position model. The record is from RNAcentral.
CAGUAGCCACGGGAAUACGAAGGGUGCAAGCGUUAAUCGGAAUUACUGGGCGUAAAGCGUGCGUAGGCGGUUUGUUAAGUCUGCUGUGAAAGCCCCGGGCUCAACCUGGGAAUGGCAAUGGAUACUGGCGAGCUAGAGUGUGUCAGAGGAUGGUGGAAUUCCCGGUGUAGCGGUGAAAUGUGUAGAGAUCGGGAGGAACAUCAGUGGCGAAGGCGGCUCACUGGCCCGAUUCUGACGCUGAGGCACGAAAGCGUGGGGAGCAAACAGGAUUAGAGACCCCCGUAGUCCCUGUCUCUUAUAC